AUCAAAAAGGGGUUACGAGUUAUUCAGCUGGAAGCAGUUCCAAGAAACUGACUGAAUUUUCAGCUUACUUUAAAACUUUCAACCACAAUGGGAAAAAAAUUUACUAUUCGAAAUUCUGUACUGACCGACAACUUCGCCAAUUCUCAAACUUUUAGUGUCUACAAUGUGAUUAUCAUCUCCUUUACGUGUCUAUUUUUCCAAACACUAGGAAAAGAAUACGUCACAAGAGGAAGAGUAACUUUCGGAUUGGAUGUAAUAACAACAGGCUUCGUCCAUUUCGAUAAAGCUGUCUUCGUUUGGUUGUGUUCUUUUGGGUCAGCUUGUGCCUCAUUUCUCUUCUUUAAAAUAUGGUCAAAUCUUAGAGAGUUUGUCAAAGAAACCACCACGAUUUUGGACUGCUUUGGAUUAACAUGUCUGGUUGUGUAUUAUUUUUACACUUGCAAGUUACUCACUGAUGCAGUAUUUUAUUUUGACUUCAAU
Molecule: long non-coding RNA, 480 nt
Organism: Zophobas morio
Lineage: Eukaryota; Metazoa; Arthropoda; Insecta; Coleoptera; Tenebrionidae
Exons: 3
Source: RefSeq, a predicted model, not a curated record